AGUCUAGCAUGUGCGCGAGUCAUUGGGCGCGACACACCCAAAGGCGCAAUCAAUGUGAAGGCCCGCCUCGCGCGGGCCGAGGGGGGACGGGCGGCCUCUCGGGGUCGCCCCGCACCCCCGGGGCGUCUCACUCUCAUCGCGAGAGGAGGCGCACCGAGAGCGCAUACGCUGGGACCCGAAAGAUGGUGAACUAUGCCUGGUCAGGACGAAGUCAGGGGAAACCCUGAUGGAGGUCCGUAGCGAUUCUGACGUGCAAAUCGAUCGUCGGAACUGGGUAUAGGGGCGAAAGACCGAUCGAACCAUCUAGUAGCUGGUUCCCUCCGAAGUUUCCCUCAGGAUAGCUGGCGCUCGUCGUCACGAGUCUCAUCCGGUAAAGCGAAUGAUUAGAGGCAUUGGGGUCGAAACGACCUCAACCUAUUCUCAAACUUUAAAUGGGUGAGAUCUCCGGCCUGCUCGAACAUGAGGCCGCGAGAACACACGGAUCAGAGUGCCAAGUGGGCCAUUUUUGGUAAGCAGAACUGGCGCUGUGGGAUGAACCAAACGCCGAGCUAAAGCGCCCAAAUCGACGCUCAUGGGAUACCAUGAAAGGCGUUGGUAACUUAAGACAGCAGGACGGUGGCCAUGGAAGUCGGAAUCCGCUAAGGAGUGUGUAACAACUCACCUGCCGAAGUUACUAGCCCUGAAAAUGGAUGGCGCUGAAGCGUCGUGCUUAUGCUCGGCCGUCGGCGGCAUGUGCGGCCGCGCCUCGGCGCGGCCAUGAGGCCCCGACGAGUAGGAGGGUCGCGGCGGUGAGCGCAGAAGGGCUGGCCGCGAGGCCGUCUGGAGCCGCCGUCGGCGCAGAUCUUGGUGGUAGUAGCAAAUACUCCAGCGAGGCCCUGGAGGACUGACGUGGAGAAGGGUUUCGUGUGAACAGCCGUUGCACACGAGUCAGUCGAUCCUAAGCCCUAGGCGAAAGCCGAUGUUGAUGCGGCGUCGUACACAGCAGUGCGCGCGCGCCCGUCGGGCGAAAGGGAAUCCGGUUCCUAUUCCGGAACCCGGCAGCGGAACCGUCACCGAUUCGGGCCCUCGAAAGAGAGUUCGUCGGGGCAACCCAAAAGGACCCGGAGACGCCGUCGGGAGAUCCGGGAAGAGUUUUCUUUUCUGCAUGAGCGUUCGAGUUCCAUGGAAUCCUCUAGCAGGGAGAUAUGGUUUGGAACGCGAAGAGCACCGCAGUUGCGGCGGUGUCCGGAUCUUCCCCUCGGACCUUGAAAAUCCGGGAGAGGGCCACGUGGAGGCGUCGCGCCGGUUCGUACCCAUAUCCGCAGCAGGUCUCCAAGGU
This 1318-nucleotide ribosomal RNA is filed under the name Mychocerus discretus. RNAcentral describes it as "eukaryotic LSU rRNA". It matches the Rfam family "Eukaryotic large subunit ribosomal RNA", at positions 672 to 1873 of the family's 3401-position model. The record is from RNAcentral. Lineage: Eukaryota; Metazoa; Arthropoda; Insecta; Coleoptera; Cerylonidae.